RNAcentral lists this long non-coding RNA (1139 nucleotides) under Capra hircus (goat). Its description in RNAcentral is "lncRNA (ENSCHIG00010005384.1)". Lineage: Eukaryota; Metazoa; Chordata; Mammalia; Artiodactyla; Bovidae. The record is from RNAcentral.
UUGCUCCCCUGGUGCUUACCCCCAACCUGGCUUCUCCCCUACAGGGCCAGGGUAGGAAGAGGUCACUCCUCACUACAGGGAGAAGCCACUAGUCCACAGGACGCAUCUGUGCAAACUAGAAACAGAGCGCCCCCUCUUCUGGCAGACACAGGCCCUGCCAGGGCGGAGGCAGGGGGCGGAACUUGGACACAGCCCGACCCACCCUCCACUACAGCCCGAUCACAGGAAGACAUGACAGAGGUCCCCCCAGGGGGAAACAAGGUUAGUCCCAGCUGCAGCAUUGAGGGUGGAUGCGGAGGAGACCCAGAACAGGAGGAGGAAGGGUAUUAGGAGUCAAGGGCUGCCCUGAGAAGGUGGUGGGACGCUCUCUCCCUCCCUGACCACCCACACCCACGUCUGGUUGGCUGAGUUGGGGGGGGGGGCGCAGAAAAAGAGGGGAGGGGAAGGGCUGGAAAGUCACCUGAGUCAGAGAGAACAGGGGCCCCGGCGGGGAGGGGGCGCGCAGGAGAGGAAUGGAACCCAAGUGCCUCCAAGCUUGAUGCAGGGCACACAUGCACACUUGCACGCCUGUGACUGCGCUGGUCAGGGCACACACACACACACACACUUGCACACCCACGACUGCGCUGGCGCAGGGCACACACGCACACACCUGCACACCCGUGACUGGCCAGGUGAAACCACAAGAGGGCAUCCCACCCCUGGAGCACUGGAGGCCAUCUGGCCGCCCCGCCCCAGCCGGACCCCCACCCUCCACUGAGGGCGCCAGCACGCUGAUGGACAGACCCUGUCAGGUGAAGCGCUGGGAGAGGGGGCUGAGUGGGGGUCGCCUAUGGCAAGCUCUUUUGUGCUGUCAUUCACCCCCCCAUUCACCUGGUCAGGGUUUCUAUACAGAAGUUUGCAAGACCUGUGCGCGCAGUCAUGAGGGCACGAGGGACAGUGCACACGCCUGUGAGGCCAGGUGCGCGUGUGACUGGCUUUCACAGGCCAGGUGGGGUGGGGUGGGCUGGGGAGUAGCUCUCAGCGGAAGGGGCUUAUUAGCUGGCAACCACCCGACCUGGGGAAGGGAGAGACCUUUCUGGGUUGUGCCCAGCCAUCUCCAACCCUUCCCGGCGCCCCUAACCUCUCAGACCCCGUAG